RNAcentral lists this ribosomal RNA (305 nucleotides) under uncultured bacterium. RNAcentral describes it as "bacterial SSU rRNA". It matches the Rfam family "Bacterial small subunit ribosomal RNA", at positions 338 to 640 of the family's 1533-position model. The record is from RNAcentral.
CCUACGGGGGGCAGCAGUGAGGAAUAUUGGUCAAUGGGCGGAAGCCUGAACCAGCCAAGUCGCGUGAGGGAAUAAGGCCCUACGGGUCGUAAACCUCUUUUGCCGGGGAGCAAGGGCGGGGACGUGUCCCGGCCCGGAGAGUACCCGGAGAAAAAGCAUCGGCUAACUCCGUGCCAGCAGCCGCGGUAAUACGGAGGAUGCGAGCGUUAUCCGGAUUUAUUGGGUUUAAAGGGUGCGUAGGCGGAACAUUAAGUCAGCGGUAAAAUCGAGGGGCUCAACCCCUUUAAGCCGUUGAAACUGGUGAU